GGGGAGAGGUGUCUCCGUCUCCCUUGGAUCUUUUUGCGGUCUGGGCUUGCUGUUCCUCUAAUCAGUAGUCAGGAAGCCCUUACCCCAAAAAGUAUCUGCGAGAGACCUGGUCGGCAGAUGUGGUCCCC
Molecule: microRNA precursor, 128 nt
Filed under: Ornithorhynchus anatinus (platypus)
Lineage: Eukaryota; Metazoa; Chordata; Mammalia; Monotremata; Ornithorhynchidae
Description: microRNA oan-mir-129 precursor
Gene: oan-mir-129
Rfam family: mir-129 microRNA precursor family (bases 24-98)
About the family: The mature sequence is excised from the 5' arm of the hairpin.
Source: miRBase by way of RNAcentral